RNAcentral lists this ribosomal RNA (78 nucleotides) under Brachybacterium paraconglomeratum. Its description in RNAcentral is "partial 16S ribosomal RNA". It matches the Rfam family "Bacterial small subunit ribosomal RNA", at positions 1 to 77 of the family's 1533-position model. Lineage: Bacteria; Bacillati; Actinomycetota; Actinomycetes; Micrococcales; Dermabacteraceae. The record is from RNAcentral.
UUUCAUGGAGAGUUUGAUCCUGGCUCAGGACGAACGCUGGCGGCGUGCUUAACACAUGCAAGUCGAACGAUGACGGUG